RNAcentral lists this ribosomal RNA (431 nucleotides) under uncultured bacterium. RNAcentral's name for it is "bacterial SSU rRNA". It matches the Rfam family "Bacterial small subunit ribosomal RNA", at positions 29 to 506 of the family's 1533-position model. The record is from RNAcentral.
ACGAACGCUGGCGGCAUGCCUAAUACAUGCAAGUCGAACGAGAUCUUCGGAUCUAGUGGCGCACGGGUGCGUAACGCGUGGGAAUCUACCCUUGGGUUCGGAAUAACAGUUGGAAACGACUGCUAAUACCGGAUGAUGACGAAAGUCCAAAGAUUUAUCGCCCAGGGAUGAGCCCGCGUAGGAUUAGCUAGUUGGUGAGGUAAAGGCUCACCAAGGCUACGAUCCUUAGCUGGUCUGAGAGGAUGAUCAGCCACACUGGGACUGAGACACGGCCCAGACUCCUACGGGAGGCAGCAGUAGGGAAUAUUGGACAAUGGGGGCAACCCUGAUCCAGCAAUGCCGCGUGAGUGAUGAAGGCCUUAGGGUUGUAAAGCUCUUUUACCCGAGAUGAUAAUGACAGUAUCGGGAGAAUAAGCUCCGGCUAACUCCGU